Molecule: non-coding RNA, 119 nt
Filed under: Butyrivibrio hungatei
Lineage: Bacteria; Bacillati; Bacillota; Clostridia; Lachnospirales; Lachnospiraceae
Description: SAM-I sequence
Rfam family: SAM riboswitch aptamer (S box leader)
About the family: The SAM riboswitch is found upstream of a number of genes which code for proteins involved in methionine or cysteine biosynthesis in Gram-positive bacteria. The SAM riboswitch acts at the level of transcription termination control.
Source: Rfam by way of RNAcentral
CUCUUAUUCAGAGUGGUGGAGGUACAUAGGACCUGUGAAGCCACGGCAACCCCUUGAUCAUAUCAGGAAGGUGCCAACCUGAGCGUGCAACUCCAGUAUUGGAAAACGAGCAAUAAGAG